Molecule: non-coding RNA, 1177 nt
Organism: Pelodiscus sinensis (Chinese soft-shelled turtle)
Lineage: Eukaryota; Metazoa; Chordata; Testudines; Trionychidae
Source: RefSeq, a predicted model, not a curated record
UGAGGAUAUCACUAGUUAUUCUGAUUUUAGGCAGAGAAUAUGAUCAAGACUUUUCUGGAUGGAUAUAGAUAGAGGAUCGAUAUUUCUUGCCUCACACCAGGACUGAAACCAGUGCCAUUUGUGAAGAACCCGUGGAAUAAGUGGAAUUGGGGAAAAGUGUACAGCAAGUGGUGUAUUCCCCAAUUGAUAAGAAAGGCAUCUCCCUGGGAAGCUGUGCAGAUGCCUGCUCUCAAGCAGUAGAGGGUGGAGGUAGGAACUCAUCCCAACUCCAUCUGCGACCGUGGAUGUGGACGGUUAGGGGGAACUGGCGGGCCGGACCGUGUGAUGCAGAAAAGGCGUGAACGGUGCAAGAUGGCUUCUGCGCAUGCACGGUCCACCAGGGGCUACUGCUACAGAAAACUCUCCAAGCUGCGGUGCUGGGACGAGCCCGACACCUUUGGUGGAGCACCCACGAGGACACUACUCGAAGAAGAAAUGGUUUUAGGAGAAGGUGUGUACUUUAAAAAAAAAAAAUCUAGCACACUAGGCAAUUUUUCUAUAGUUUCUUAAGCUGCUGAAUGUUUGUAAACAUUGUUAGCCAAAUUCAUCUCUGCUGUAAAUAUGGUUUUUCUUCUAUUAUAAGAUCUUCCUCUCCCAUAAGCUCAUUCCCUCACUUUUCUGAACCAGGAUCAAUUCUCUUUGGCAUCUCCCGAGAGAAGAAACACAGCAGAUAGGGCACGGCAAGAAGUAGCAAAGUGGCCUGUCCUAAACUGCUUAUGGACUGCAGUUCUGACUUUGCACAGCACCAAAUGCUAUAACUACUCCUUGUCACAUCUCUUUCCUCUUCCAGCUCCAGCUUUUCCCCUGUGUGUAGUUUGUGAGAAGCAGCAGCGUAGGGCUUUCAUUGCACCUGCACUACACCUGAGAUGACAGAAUUCUUCCCUGGACCUUGAUAGUUCAUUUACAACCCCUACACACCACAGCAGCAGAGGGGAGACUUAGCCCAAAGAUAUUCAAAAAGAAUUAUGGGCCAGAUCUAAUACUGGCAACAGUGAAUAUAGCUCCCAUUGGUGUCAGUAUGUGCUUUGCACCAAGGCUGAGUCUGGCCCCAUAACUGAAAAGGACAGCAUUAUUUGAGACAAAGCUAUGCACAAAACUCAAGUUGACCUUGGCCUAUCAGUUUUGGCUGCAACAUGUC